UUUAAGUGUAACCAUGAGUUUCCGUGUCCAUCUUUGAUUAUCCGUCUUAUUUAAUUUUUUUAUAAUUAGUAUUUUUGUUGUUAUGAGAUGAUAAAACAUGAAUAAUACUUUAUGCGUGACUUAUGUUUUAAAAUUUUUUAAAUAAGACGGAUGAUUAAAGUUAAGCACGGAAAAACAUGGUUGCAUUUAAA
Molecule: non-coding RNA, 191 nt
Organism: Oryza nivara
Lineage: Eukaryota; Viridiplantae; Streptophyta; Magnoliopsida; Poales; Poaceae
Source: Rfam